GACGUUAAUCGACGACAGACCGAUAUAUAAAAGUCGAUAAAACGUCAGAAUAAUUCGGACUAAUAAUACACAUGCUAUUUUAUUUCAGGUUUGACGUAUGAUAUAUGGUAACACGAUGCUUGUUAUAUGGCCAGACAUUUCAUACACGUCCUUUAUGAUAAAAUACAUAAUCUAUAUGACAAUUUUGCUUAUAAUGUAAUUUUGAUAACUAUACUACUUUGUUGUUUUUUGUGACGUUUCUGUCAUGUUUCGUGGUGUCUGUUGAUUUUUCUUUAACGUAAAGUAUUGUGUCGUCUAUUAAAUAAACAUGUGUUUGUCAUGUUGCUGAAAGUGUGUGUUAGAGUGAACAAAUGAGUGGUUUUAUUGGGUUUAGAUGGGCGGGGUGUUGUAUUGUUUUCUAAGAUUAGGAGGACGGUUUGGAUAAAUAUCAGUGAGCGACUUCAACACCAACAUAACCAACUUUUACAAACGAUGUCGAUGUUAUUUCAACGGCUGUUUUCUGAUAUACUGUUUAUGGUAACGUGACAUGCAGACCUUAAUGAUACUGGUCAAACCGACACUGGAUGGAUCAGCUAUUUCUUGUUAACAAGGUGUUUCUCCAACAUGUAUCUGUUGACGGGCUACUCAAGGAAACCCAAGUAUGUGGAUAUAAAGUUAAAAAAGUGUGAUGAUAACAGUUAUGUGAUCUAGGCAGUAAACCCUUCCGAAUAACCAAAGAUGUAACACUGCCAGUGAUCUUGGCAUGAAAAGCGGACUUUUUCAAUUACUAAAUGUAUUAAUUGUUGGUAUAAACAGCACAAGGAUGUCUGUUUCAUCAACAUUAAAAAGGGAACAGAAAUAUGACAAUUGUAUGUAAAAUUUAGA
Mizuhopecten yessoensis (Yesso scallop) is the source of this 864-nucleotide long non-coding RNA. RefSeq lists it as uncharacterized. The record is from RefSeq and is a predicted model, not a curated record. Lineage: Eukaryota; Metazoa; Mollusca; Bivalvia; Pectinida; Pectinidae. The transcript has 4 exons.